GUCCAGUUCACAUCCGAAUUGUUGGAGUAUGGGAGGGAAGUCGUCCAAACUUCUUCCAUACCUCUCGCAACCACACAUCAGCGAGCACCAGUGACUGAGGAUGGCGAUGGUUUCGUCUCUAAGAUAGCACAGAGGGAUUGUGAGCUCUAGCUUGAAGCAUGCCGAGUAGAGGUGUCGCAGAUGGCAAGGAAAAGUAAAGAAAC
Molecule: unclassified non-coding RNA, 203 nt
Filed under: Hevea brasiliensis (rubber tree)
Lineage: Eukaryota; Viridiplantae; Streptophyta; Magnoliopsida; Malpighiales; Euphorbiaceae
Source: RNAcentral